AUACGUAGGUGGCGAGCGUUGUCCGGAUUUACUGGGCGUAAAGGGUGCGUAGGCGGAUUGGCAAGUCAGAUGUGAAAUACCGCAGCUUAACUGCGGGGCUGCAUUUGAAACUGUCGAUCUUGAGUGCAGGAGAGGUAAGCGGAAUUCCCAGUGUAGCGGUGAAAUGCGUAGAUAUUGGGAGGAACACCAGUGGCGAAGGCGGCUUACUGGACUGUAACUGACGCUGAGGCACGAAAGCGUGGGGAUC
Molecule: ribosomal RNA, 247 nt
Filed under: uncultured bacterium
Lineage: Bacteria
Description: partial 16S ribosomal RNA
Rfam family: Bacterial small subunit ribosomal RNA
Source: RNAcentral